Non-coding RNA from Vicugna pacos (alpaca), 1424 nucleotides. The record is from RefSeq and is a predicted model, not a curated record. Lineage: Eukaryota; Metazoa; Chordata; Mammalia; Artiodactyla; Camelidae.
UAUUUAUUUUUUAAAUGGAGGUACUGGGAAUUGAACUAAGGACCUCGUGCAUGCUGAGCACACACUACUGCUGAGCUAUACCCUUCCUCCUACCAUUCUCUUCUUUGCUUCUACGAGACUAUUUUACAUACCUUGUAUAGUGUAAUCAGGCAAUAUUUAUCCUUCUGUGACUAGCUUGUUUCACUUAGCAAAUGUCCUCAAAUUUCAUCCAUGUUGUUGCAAAUGGUAGGAUUUCGUUCUUUUUCUGUUGAAGUGCAUAUGUACAAUGUGUCUUUCCAGCUUAUUUUAUACCCAAUAGUUUGUACCUCUUAUUUCCCUCCUCCCUUCCCUCUCCCCAUUGGUACCCACUAGUUUGUUCUCUAUAUCUGUGAGCCUGUUUCUUUUUUGUCAUAUUCACUAGUUUGUUGUGUUUUUUAGAAUCCACAUAUAAGUGCUAUCAUACACUAUUUGUAGAGACAAAAAAUUUAAAGAGAGUCUAGCAUGUGAUUUACACAGGAUGCCUUAAGUGUGGUCCUGCUACAUGUUUAAUGAUGAUUAAAUGAAUGUUACAUGAAUGGAGUAAAAAAAAGUCACCUUCCCAGCCUCCUUUGCAACUUGCUUGCUAGUUGGUCUACUUCUGGUCCAUAUGAUGCAAACAGACUUGUACUGGCAUGGCUUCAAGGAAAGCUAUUUUCCUAAUGAAGAGGAAUAGACUCAGCUAGGACAAGAGUUUUGCUCCGUGUUCUUCUUCCUGCUGGAAUAUAAGAUGUGAUGUACAAAGGUUUGGCAGCCAUCAGACAAGCCUGAGGAAGAAAAGUACCUGUUGAGGAUGGUGGAUUGGAAAGGCAGAAGUCUGCAUCCUAGAAGAAUUAGGAAAUGCUAGUUUCCCUUUCAACAUCUUGUUUUAUCUCUCCACAAGUCCUGUGGUCCUCACCUCCAAAAUAGUUCCCAUACCUCUCCUUUCUUUCUGGACUGCUACCUGGACGGAUGUGAGCGCCCCAUCCCUCACGUAGACUCCUACAACUGCCCUCUACCAGUCUCUCUGCUUCAGCUCUCACCACUUGUAUCUCUGCUGUGCAAUGGCCAAACUGAUCUUAACACAGAAUUCUUAUUAGGUGUAAAACACUACAUUGGUUUCCCAUACAAUUAGAAUGAAACCCCGACUCCUAGCCUUGUCCUACAAGGAACUGUGACAUCUGGCCCUGCUCCCCUUUCUGGCCUCAUCUACUGUCUUCCCCUUGAUAAGUGCUCUUCAGCCCGGGGAGCUUUGUGUCCUCCAAGCUCAUUGGGCUUGACCCCCAUUGAGGGGCCUUACUUGGCCUUAUUUUACAUGUUAGAAACUGAGACUGGAAGGGUCAGUUGUUCAUCUGGAGUUAGAAUUUGGACUCUAAUUCUACCACACUAUACUGUCUCUAAAGAUAAGAAGCAAGAACUCACUUGGAAAC